UAGGACUCUCGGCAAUGGAUAUCUUGGCUCUCGCAUCGAUGAAGAGCGCAGCGAAAUGCGAUACGUGGUGCGAAUUGCAGAAUCCCGUGAACCAUCGAGUUUUUGAACGCAAGUUGCGCCCGAGGCCAGCUGGCCAAGGGCACGUCCGCCUGGGCGUCAAACGUUGAUUCGCUCCC
RNAcentral lists this ribosomal RNA (176 nucleotides) under Habenaria aff. subfiliformis JANB-2011. RNAcentral describes it as "5.8S ribosomal RNA". The stretch from base 4 to 159 matches the Rfam family "5.8S ribosomal RNA". From Rfam's summary of the family: 5.8S ribosomal RNA (5.8S rRNA) is a component of the large subunit of the eukaryotic ribosome. It is transcribed by RNA polymerase I as part of the 45S precursor that also contains 18S and 28S rRNA. The record is from RNAcentral. RNAcentral also lists the same sequence under 4 other names. Lineage: Eukaryota; Viridiplantae; Streptophyta; Magnoliopsida; Asparagales; Orchidaceae.